This 205-nucleotide unclassified non-coding RNA is filed under the name plant metagenome. RNAcentral's name for it is "partial contains small subunit ribosomal RNA, internal transcribed spacer 1, and 5.8S ribosomal RNA". The record is from RNAcentral.
GUAGGUGAACCUGCGGAAGGAUCAUUACUAGAGCAAAGGAUAGGCAGCACCCCACAGAAGCUUGCUUCGUGGCGGGCUACCCUACUCCGGUAGGGUUUAGAGCCGUCGAACCUCUCGGAGAAGUUCGGUCCUGAACUCCACCCUUGAAUAAAUUACCUUUGUUGCUUUGGCAGGCCGCCUCGUGCCAGCGGCUUCGGCUGUUGAG